Molecule: long non-coding RNA, 864 nt
Organism: Lathyrus oleraceus (garden pea)
Lineage: Eukaryota; Viridiplantae; Streptophyta; Magnoliopsida; Fabales; Fabaceae
Exons: 2
Source: RefSeq, a predicted model, not a curated record
UUAAAACAUAUCAAGUAAUACCAUUUAAAAAAACAAAAAAUAAUGAAGAAUGACAUAUUAUAUUGAAAAUCGAAUCGUGACCCUUUAAGAAAAAUUGAACACUUACCUUUCAUACUCUCAUUUUCCCCAUCAUUUUAUUUUCUCUCUUUUUUAAGACAUCAUCUUUGUCCUUAUCAUUUUCUUAAAAGUAAAAUCGUGGAUGAAGAUUGAAGCUUCAACCAUUUCCAUAAUCUCUCAUCUGAACGACACAUUCUUCUCCUCAAUUUCUCACAAAAACUAAAACCCAAACCUUAAAUGAAAACAAUCAGCAAAAAUAGAUCAAAAGUAGUGAGUCAUAAAAUCCCAAUCUUAAACCUAGUCGGACCCAAAUUAAAGCAUACAAAAUCCUAACAACAAAUCAAACAUCAAACAUGUAAUAAUAUCUUCACAUCAUACGAAAAUUAAUCAUACCCGCAACAAAAAUCGGAACCCCCUUUGCAAUACUUACGCAAGAUUACAUGGUACAAUAUGCAAAUCAAAUGAGCAAUAAAUAAAUGAAAACAAGACAACAAGUUCUACUGACUUAGAGUCUAUGGGAGGAAAAAGACCAAAGGAUUAUUUUUAAUUUUCCCGUGUUUCAGAAUUUCGAUCAGAUCAAUAAGGCUGAAGUAAACUUUAUUUUUUCAUUGUCGUCUCAAAUACUUCCUUGAAAACAAAUCCAAUUGAUGUUGUUCAAAAUAAUGGUUUUACUAUUGCAUUUGUGUGAUAUUCUGAUUGCAUUACCUUUAUGCAUCUUAGUCGUUGAUAUCAUCAUUGCAUGAUGGACUUUGGUUUCUUCCAUGUUUGCCUAGGAAUACUCUAAUUAAUAUAACUUCAUUGCAUCUU